CGGGGCGUAGCGCAGUCUGGUAGCGCAUCUGGUUUGGGACCAGAGGGUCGCUGGUUCGAAUCCGGCCGCCCCGACCA
This 77-nucleotide transfer RNA is filed under the name Methylobacterium sp. Its description in RNAcentral is "tRNA-Pro". It matches the Rfam family "tRNA". Rfam says of the family: Transfer RNA (tRNA) molecules are approximately 80 nucleotides in length. Their secondary structure includes four short double-helical elements and three loops (D, anti-codon, and T loops). Lineage: Bacteria; Pseudomonadati; Pseudomonadota; Alphaproteobacteria; Hyphomicrobiales; Methylobacteriaceae. RNAcentral also lists the same sequence under 35 other names. The record is from RNAcentral.